Molecule: long non-coding RNA, 1743 nt
Organism: Rhineura floridana
Lineage: Eukaryota; Metazoa; Chordata; Lepidosauria; Squamata; Rhineuridae
Exons: 3
Source: RefSeq, a predicted model, not a curated record
UGAAAGGCGACUGUCUGAAGCAGGGAGCUUUUUGUAUUCAUGGAGGCUCUUCACACAUUUUAGAACCCUGGAAAAUGUUGUGCAAAACAACUGGAAAACUGCUUCAGAGUGGGCAAAUGGUCGACUUCUCUUCCUUUAGAAAUCCUCUUCAGCUUGUUGGAUGACUGCUCAUUGAAAGAAGGAGGAAAAGCCACAGUACACUCCAGUCUUGGGCAAAGCCAAGGGACCUUAGAAGAGAAAGGGAUUUAGGGGCAGUCUACACACUGCCUUAUCCAACAACCAUUUUUCUCAUCCUGCUGCAGCAUCUGAUGUAUAUAGGAAGCUGACUUUUGCUGAGUCAAACUUAUUGGUCCAUCUAGCUCAGUAGUGUUGCCUCACACUGACCAGCAGGGGCAUUCCAGAGACUUCCUCAGACCUACCUGGAAAUACCAGGGAUUCAACCUGGGACCUGGCAUGCAAACCUAGCACUAUACUACUGAGCUAUGGCCUAUUCUAUGAAUGCUUUUCCGCAGGUGGAAAUCCCCACCAUGGAAAUUCCAACCAGUGUGCCACCUCCUGGUAUUGUUUGGUACUGCAGAUUGCCUCAAAAGCAAUGUUUAAAAGCACAUGAAAAACAGAACCAACAUCAAGAAUAUUGAACUUACUACACAUCUAAUUGGUCAGACACAGAAACAUAACUUCCAUCAAAAGCUUUACUAAAAAGAUUUCCAAACUACUUCGCAGCCAGAAGCGAUUAAAGCGGUGUACAAUAAGAUAAACAUUAGAUUAUAUACAAGAGAUACAGGGCCGCUUCAGAGGUCCAUUUUAUUGAUGAUUUGUGCUCAUGAUGGUAUCAGGGCAAUUAGACACAAUCACGCUUUCAAUACUGUUUGCACCUGCAAAGGUUUCAGGGUGGAUCAACUGCUUCAUUUGCAAUCAGUGCAUGUUUGUAACUUCCUGCUGAAAUCCUGUAACUUCUUAUACCACAAAUAUUCUGGUUUAUUUUUUGUCAUCCUUUAGUUGUGCUAUAGUGCAAAAGUGGCCCUCCAGAUGGCAAUAAUGUGGUAAUGGGCACUCCAGCCUAAUUAUCCUACAAACUACCUUUUUGUACUCUCGGUUCAAAAACAUUGUAGAGCUUUCACAAUGGCACGUUUUAAUGUCCUCCCUUCAGCAAUUAUGGAGGAAUAUAUCCCUUACUAUAAUCGUAAGUGCCCUUAUGACUCUGGAGAGGUGUAAAUGGUCACCCAUGUUCUCCUGUACUGUUCAUUCUACCGUGAUUUUACAUAGAACUCUAAUUGAACCUCUCCUACUGAAAUCCCCAGGGCAAUCAGAGGCAUUCUGUGUUUCUUUAUUCCUUUCUGACCAAAAUACAUUUAUUAUUUUUAGAGUUGCCAAAUUUUGCACUGCAGCAAGUAAAACUUGCCAGGAACUGACCCUAGCCAUCUUGUAACCUUUUUUGUUUUCCCCCUCUUGGAACUUCAUAAUCUUAUGUCUUAACUUACCUUAUACUAUCAUGUUUUAACAAUUUUAUCUUUUAUUUUCUUACCCCAUUUUAUUGCAUUUUAUUCUUCUGUAUAUUAGGAUAAUCUCCUCUUAUGAGAGUUUUAUGUCUCUAUUUUAUGCUGGUCAUUGACUGUAACAAUAAAGAUUUGAUUUGUGGUAAUGGGAAAGCAUCACCGAACAGCUAAUAAAGAAUGGUCCAGCAUAAAUCCACCACAUCAGCCAUCUCUGUCUCCAUUGUCUUUUUGGCAGGUACUGAAGGCC